GUGGGGAAUAUUGGACAAUGGGGGGAACCCUGAUCCAGCCAUGCCGCGUGUGUGAAGAAGGCCUUUUGGUUGUAAAGCACUUUAAGCGAGGAGGAGGCUACCGAGAUUAAUACUCUUGGAUAGUGGACGUUACUCGCAGAAUAAGCACCGGCUAACUCUGUGCCAGCAGCCGCGGUAAUACAGAGGGUGCAAGCGUUAAUCGGAUUUACUGUGCGUAAAGCGCGCGUAGGUGGCCAAUUAAGUCAAAUGUGAAAUCCCCGAGCUUAACUUGGGAAUUGCAUUAGAUACUGGUUGGCUAGAGUAUGGGAGAGGAUGGUAGAAUUCCAGGUGUAGCGGUGAAAUGCGUAGAGAUCUGGAGGAAUACCGAUGGCGAAGGCAGCCAUCUGGCCUAAUACUGACACUGAGGUGCGAAAGCAUGGGGAGCAAACAGGAUUAGAAACCCGGGUAGUCC
Molecule: ribosomal RNA, 451 nt
Filed under: uncultured bacterium
Lineage: Bacteria
Description: partial 16S ribosomal RNA
Rfam family: Bacterial small subunit ribosomal RNA
Source: RNAcentral